GGGGGGAGUAUUAAGAGAUCUUAACCAAUUAUUUUGUAAAAUUAUAAUUUUCUUCGGUUGGAAUUUUAUUUUUUAUUACACCUGGUAUGUUGAUUUGUUUUAGUUGUUACAAGUAGCUAUUUUUAGUCUAUCACACAUGUAUUUAAAGGCUUGUUGUACUCCACACCUGAUCACAGAUAUGAAGAUUGAUUUUCCUUCAUUUUCCCUUUCUUGGUUGAUUAGUUUUCCCUCUCCUUUUGUCUGUUUGAUUCUUUUCUUACUCCCUCUUCUUUUCAACUGGUGGAGACUGGUUCACAUUGGUGUGGACAUUUCGGUUUUAAAAACUCUACUUAUUUUUAUUUGAUUAGAUAUUUCAGUCACCUGAAUAGAUAUCAAAGACAUGGUGUGAUCAUCAUAGUUGACGGUUUUGUUGAGGUCAAAGAGAGGUUAGAAGAGCAAAGGCACAUCAAACAGCAAGAGAAUAUCAAAUAAUAUGUCAAUUUGAUUUUGUUCAUCAAAGAACAUGUAAAUUUGCUCCUACUUGAACAAUUACAUUUUGUA
Benincasa hispida (wax gourd) is the source of this 540-nucleotide non-coding RNA. The record is from RefSeq and is a predicted model, not a curated record. NCBI's taxonomy places the organism in Eukaryota, Viridiplantae, Streptophyta, Magnoliopsida, Cucurbitales, Cucurbitaceae.